AACCUUUAUUCUCCAAAAUCACCAAAACUUAGAGCAAAAAAGAGAAGAAAGAGGUGCCAAUUUUCUCAAGAACACGGAGCAGGUUUUCUUCAGUUCCAGCCCCUAAAUCGAAGGAUUUCUCCAUAUGAAUUUCGUCACCAGGUAUGUGGGAUUUCACUAGUGGAUUCGUUUCAUCCACUAGGUCCAAAGAACUCUGUCAGAUUCUUGAUUCUCUAUAUCUUGUUUAGACCUAGGGUUUCUAAAACCUUGGAUAAUUGCUGUGAUUUAGCUAUUGUAGUAUUCGUAAUUGAAUUAUCAUGUUUUCUUGGAAAGUUUGCUUAGUUCCUUGUAUGAAACUCAGAACCCUAGUUGUGUAGAUACUUUUAGUUCAUGAAUUACACUUUCUAGGUUAGUUGAACAGAUAAACAUGCUCCAGUUUUCGAAUGUUACAUUGUCAGUUCCUAAAUGUUGUCUUCUCAGAUUUUUAUGUCAGAACCUUGAGCUAUCCAGUAUUUCAGUUAUGUUGGGUCAUAUACAUUUCCAGUUGGGAGUAGGCUUAGCACCGAGUUGGACUAGGGUUUAGCAUACCCUCAUAUUCCCAAAACUACGUGCCCCCGUAGGAGUAUAAGUCCCCUGUGUUGGGCAUCAGAUUUAGUGAUCAUGCCAGUCAUGCCUUUAUAGGCAAGGUAUAUUGUAUCCUCUAGAUGGGGCAUAUACAUCGGACUCCACGUUUAGCUCACGUGAUUUUAUGUCGGUUAAUAGUAGCUCCCACAGUCAGACUCUAAUGCAUUUGACCAGGUUUUCAUUUUAUAUUACAGUAAUCAGUCUCAACAUGUUAUGUUCAUGGUCAUUGUAUUUAGCUCAGUUUUCAGUUAUAUUCAACAUUUAUCUUCUAUUUAGAUUAUAUUAUUGCUCAACUGUUAUCUAUAUCCUGCAUGCUUAGUACAUUCCAAGUACUGAUGCAUACUCUGCGCUACACCCUUUAUGAUGUAGGUUCAGGUACUAAGCAUCCAAGCAUCCAGAUCACGGUUAGAUCGAUUAUCGGUUUGUAUUCAGCAG
Molecule: long non-coding RNA, 1038 nt
Filed under: Solanum tuberosum (potato)
Lineage: Eukaryota; Viridiplantae; Streptophyta; Magnoliopsida; Solanales; Solanaceae
Description: long non-coding RNA (STUB_LNC010908)
Source: RNAcentral